Molecule: small nuclear RNA, 107 nt
Organism: Schistocerca cancellata (South American locust)
Lineage: Eukaryota; Metazoa; Arthropoda; Insecta; Orthoptera; Acrididae
Source: RefSeq, a predicted model, not a curated record
GUACUCUCUUCGGCGGUACAGAUACUAAAAUUGGAAUUAUACAGAGAAGAUUAGCACGGCCCCAGAGCAAGGAUGACACUAAAAAUCGCGAAGUGUUCCACAUAUUC